CGGCAACAGCUCAAAUUUGAAAUCUGGCUCCUGCCCGAGUUGUAAUUUGCAGAGGAGGCUUUGGAGUCGCCCCGGUCCAAGUUCCUUGGAACAGGACGUCGCAGAGGGUGAGAAUCCCGUAC
This 122-nucleotide ribosomal RNA is filed under the name Labrocarpon sp. RNAcentral describes it as "partial large subunit ribosomal RNA". Lineage: Eukaryota; Fungi; Ascomycota; Dothideomycetes; Asterinales; Stictographaceae. The record is from RNAcentral.